Molecule: long non-coding RNA, 147 nt
Organism: Andrographis paniculata
Lineage: Eukaryota; Viridiplantae; Streptophyta; Magnoliopsida; Lamiales; Acanthaceae
Exons: 3
Source: RefSeq, a predicted model, not a curated record
UCCAAUUCCGACUUGGGUGUACGUUGGAGGAGAUUUGGGUGAAGUUAUAAAAAUCCAGAAAGUAUCGGUAGGAGGUACGCAUGGCACCUCCGGGACAGGGGACGUCUCGGGAGAUAGAAAGACGGGCUGAAUGAGUGAACUGCAUAU